RNAcentral lists this ribosomal RNA (553 nucleotides) under uncultured Glomus. Its description in RNAcentral is "SSU rRNA". It matches the Rfam family "Eukaryotic small subunit ribosomal RNA", at positions 552 to 1099 of the family's 1831-position model. Lineage: Eukaryota; Fungi; Glomeromycota; Glomeromycetes; Glomerales; Glomeraceae. The record is from RNAcentral.
AGGGCAAGUCUGGUGCCAGCAGCCGCGGUAAUUCCAGCUCCAAUAGCGUAUAUUAAAGUUGUUGCAGUUAAAAAGCUCGUAGUUGAAUUUCGGGAUUGACGUGAUGGUCAUGCCUUAAGGGGUAUGAACUGUUACAGUUGAUUUCUCACCUUCUGGAAAAACUUGAUGUCCUUUAUUGGGUGUCUUGCAGAUCCAGGACCUUUACCUUGAAAAAAUUAGAGUGUUUAAAGCAGGCAUUUUUGCUCGAAUACAUUAGCAUGGAAUAAUAGAAUAGGACGGCAUGGUUCUAUUUUGUUGGUUUCUAGGAUCACCGUAAUGAUUAAUAGGGAUAGUUGGGGGCAUUAGUAUUCAAUUGUCAGAGGUGAAAUUCUUGGAUUUAUUGAAGACUAACUACUGCGAAAGCAUUUGCCAAGGAUGUUUUCAUUAAUCAAGAACGAAAGUUAGGGGAUCGAAGACGAUCAGAUACCGUCGUAGUCUUAACCAUAAACUAUGCCGACUAGGAAUCAGACGAUGUUAAUUUUUUAAUGACUCGUUCGGCGCCUUACGGGAAACA